RNAcentral lists this ribosomal RNA (397 nucleotides) under uncultured bacterium. RNAcentral describes it as "partial 16S ribosomal RNA". It matches the Rfam family "Bacterial small subunit ribosomal RNA", at positions 523 to 918 of the family's 1533-position model. The record is from RNAcentral.
AUACGUAGGUGACAAGCGUUAUCCGGAUUUACUGGGUGUAAAGGGCGUGUAGGCGGUUUGGCAAGUCAGAAGUGAAAUUCCCGGGCUUAACUUGGGCGCUGCUUCUGAAACUGCUUAACUUGAGUGCUGGAGAGGAUAGUGGAAUUCCUAGUGUAGCGGUAAAAUGCGCAGAUAUUAGGAGGAACACCGGUGGCGAAGGCGGCUAUCUGGACAGUAACUGACGCUGAGGCGCGAAAGCACGGGGAGCAAACAGGAUUAGAUACCCUGGUAGUCCGUGCCGUAAACGAUGAAUACUAGGUGUAGGGGGUAUCGACUCCCUCUGUGCCGCAGUUAACACAUUAAGUAUUCCACCUGGGGAGUACGGCCGCAAGGUUGAAACUCAAAUGAAUUGACGGGG